Molecule: long non-coding RNA, 1972 nt
Organism: Bos taurus (domestic cattle)
Lineage: Eukaryota; Metazoa; Chordata; Mammalia; Artiodactyla; Bovidae
Source: Ensembl
UACCUGCUGCAGGAGGGCUGUGAGGUUUUAAUAGGGUAAUGGUUGUAGAGCCCUUUGAUGUAGUAAGUUUUAUUAACUUCCAAGGGAUUCCCUGAAGUCAGAAAAAGCAGUUAAAACCCAAGAGAGAAGAAAAGCAUUGAAAGGCAAAGCUCAGCAAAGCAUUUCACUUUCAGCUCUAAUUUCAGAAGCCCAGAGUCCACCGCUCCAGCGUGAGUGGGAAGCAGUGUCCUGGGCUGGGGGCGUGUGACUGGCAUUUGGGAAGGGAGAGCCUUAAUACUGUCUCAGAAGGCACUCGGCUUUCAGUGGAGGUAAAGGGAGGCCUGGCAUGCUGCAGUCCAUGGGGUCGCAAAGAGCUGGACAUGACUGGGGGACUGAACAACACCAUCACCGUGGCGUAUCAUGGAAAACGAGGCACAGCCACGCGGGGCAGAAGUGCCCUGGGAUCUUACCACCCGGCCCUGCUACCAUCGACCUCAGAUCAGAACUAUGGCCUCAGUUUCCUCACCUGUAAAGGGAGGGGACAUGAUGCAAUUCCUUCUCACCUUUUCCUCCAGGAGAAGAGGACACAGACACCUGCCCACGAACUAGCCCAGCCCCACAGGGGAUGCUGUGUGGUUUUCAACAAGAGAGGCAGGCGGUGGGGAUGUGCCAGGGGCCCAUGUCCACUUCUGCUGUGGCUUUCAGCUCCUGAUGUUCACUAGGAGUCCUUUAAUACCCUUUCUGUGAGCAGCAGGCACAUGGCUGGGAAUGUGGCGGCCCUAAACUAACAGCUGAGAGCUCUACAUAGCUCUUUAGGUCACUUUAGCACAUUAUACCCCUGAGAUUCAAACUUUCUCCAAGGUCAUGUUAAGAUUCAAGUUUGGCGAAAUGGAGUGCUGAGUCCAAAAACGAAAACAAUCUAAAAGACCAGGGCUGUUUCCUUUACCCCGGUUUACUGAGCGACACCUUUUCUUGCUGUGGUUUCUAUAAUGGUAUUUUAUUUUACAAUAUAAAGGUAAAGAAAAAUACUCUCUGCUAACAGAGUAAAACCACAUUAAUUACACAUAGGUUUUAUCUUUGUUGCAUAGAUUCUCCAGCCAAACCACUGCUUGGAUUCCCCCUUUGUCUGACCCAGGUAGACAGGCGAGAGGAUCAGAGCUGGGAUUUUUCUGGUUGGGGGCACCUUGCAGGGGUCAGCCGAUUCUUUUAAAGUGCCCUUAACAGGAGCCUAUGUUAAUGAAAGCAGUUUUCUCAUGACAGAUCAGAACCUGGCCUUUAUAGCAUUAAAAAAAAUUUUUUUUUACAUCGAGAAGAAACGGUGAACAAUGAUUGAAUCAAAGCCGCCCUCAGCAGCCUCCCCCAACUCCACCCCAUCUGAGAACAGCCCUGUUUCAAUUUCACCACUGAGUUCAGCCUGCCUGCUCCAGACGUCCAGACCUCGCACUCUAUAAAUCGUCUCUGCCCUUGCCCUGGAGUUGCUGACUAUAUGUAUUUUUGGGCCCAGCAUUAAUUCCCUCAUCCUUGGCUGGUGACAUUAAGAUUUGUAACUGAUAGAAUGUGUUUUUAAUGUAUUUCCUGCAGGUUACUAUUAAAGAAAUCUAAUUCUUCUGAACUUGCAAAAGGUUCUGCUUCCAUUUAAAAAAAAAAAAAAAGGCAUUACGGGAAGAAUUUCCCUGCAGCCUUCAGAAGGACCGGGCAGCCAGCAGGGUCUGGGGCUCCGGAAUUCUCUGCUUAGCUCUGCCACUCAUUCUUCCUCCUCCCGCCCAGUCUGUACUCCUCUCCGGGCCUUCAUUUUCCUGGGUAUGAAGUGAGGAUAAAUAUUUGUCCAUGAGAUGAGGGUGUUGUAAGGAUUAAUUGGUUGGUGCUUCGGGAAACCUUUGAAGAUGAAAGACGCUCUCUGCAGAUGCUAAGUAAACUCGUAACGUGUCUGGUUUUAAUGAGCCAGGUGAAGCCAGAGGGGAUGGCUGGAGAUUAACUGUGCCUAGUCCAGAGC